RNAcentral lists this ribosomal RNA (447 nucleotides) under uncultured bacterium. Its description in RNAcentral is "bacterial SSU rRNA". It matches the Rfam family "Bacterial small subunit ribosomal RNA", at positions 355 to 825 of the family's 1533-position model. The record is from RNAcentral.
UCGGGAAUUUUGGGCAAUGGGCGAAAGCCUGACCCAGCAACGCCGCGUGAAGGAUGAAGUAUUUCGGUAUGUAAACUUCGUAAGAAUAGGAAGAAUAAAUGACGGUACUAUUUGUAAGGUCCGGCUAACUACGUGCCAGCAGCCGCGGUAAUACGUAGGGACCAAGCGUUGUUCGGAUUUACUGGGCGUAAAGGGUGCGUAGGCGGUGUGUCAAGUCAGUUGUGAAAUCUCCGAGCUUAACUCGGAACGGUCAACUGAUACUGUCACACUAGAGUACAGAAGGGGCAAUCGGAAUUCUUGGUGUAGCGGUGAAAUGCGUAGAUAUCAAGAGGAACACCUGAGGCGAAGGCGGGUUGCUGGGCUGAUACUGACGCUGAGGCGCGAAAGCUAGGGUAGCAAACGGGAUUAGAUACCCCCGUAGUCCCUGAGCGGGCUGGCAAGGCGCAU